CUAAGUUUGAAAGAUGGUUUGUCUCCUCUGCUGCUAACGUCAUACAAAUCCUCUUUUCAUCUCUCCCCCUAGGGUUUUCACAAUCCAAUAAAAAAUCAUCAAAACAGAUACAGAAAUUGAAGAAGACGACGGUCAUCCUAUCUGUAUUUAUAGUUAUUUUUUAUUAAAUUUAUAGCGAUAAUAGUUUAAGUUUAUAUAUAUAUAUAUACAUCCAUAGAUACAGACCUAUACAUAUAUAUAAAUUACAUGAAUGGAAUCCUCAUGCUUAGAUGAUCUCAAUACCUUAUCAUCUUCAUCUUUAUGUUCUCAAAUCCAUCAAAAUGAUAGAAAUGUGCUUCAUUUGCUAGCAAGGAGAGAGAUAGCUCCUAGAACUACAAAGUGCUUACCAAAAAGGCAGUGGGGAGAGGUUUCUAAUCGCAGGUGUCAGUCAUCUGUUAAACCCGAAAGCGAAAGAGCUAGGAACUCAAGACGUGAACUUCUUUCAUGGGUGGAAGCUGAGUCUUUGCAGAGUUUAUCAGCUAAAUAUUGUCCUUUGGCGCCUUCUCCAAGGUCAACGAUUGCAAUAGCCUUCAGUGCAGAUGGAAAACUCCUUGCAUCUACUCAUGGCGAUCAUACUGUAAAAAUAAUCAACUGCCAUACUGGGAAAUGUGAAAAGGUGCUGAGUGGUCAUCGAAGAACUCCAUGGGUGGUUAGAUUCCACCCACUGCGUCCAGAAAUACUUGCUAGUGGAAGCUUGGAUAAUGAAGUUCGAAUAUGGAAUGCAAAUACAUCGGAAUGCCUAGGGUCUCGUGAUUUUUACCGUCCUAUUGCUUCCAUCGCCUUCCAUGCUGAAGGAGAAUUUCUUGCAGUUGCUGCAGGUCAUAAGUUGUAUUUAUGGCAUUACAAUAAUAGAGAGAUUUUGUCACCUGCUAUUGUAUUGAGGACAAGACGUUCUCUUCGUGCUGUGCACUUCCAUCCACAUUCUGCUCCAUUUUUGCUAACUGCCGAGGUCAAUGAUCUUGACUCUCCGGAUUCUGCCAUGGCACCCGCAACAUCUCUAGGCUAUUUGCAUUAUCCACCUCCUGCUGUAUAUAUUGGAAACAUGCAUUCCAUUGACCGUCUAAGUUUAGCUGCGGAGCAACCAUUGAUGCCUGUGCCUCUCUUUUGCUCUCCUCCUUAUGUAAAUGCCAAUCCAAGAGCACACCUACAGAUUGCCAGUAGACCCAUUGAAGAUGUCAACAGUCAGUUAGAAUCUUCUGAUAGACUUCAAGUUCUUGCAAAUGCCACAGAACUGUAUGAGCAGAUGAUGGCUUCUUCUGUUCCUCCAUAUACUACUCAUAAUACAGAAGUUAAUUUAUCGAAUCCAUAUCCCGGUGAAUUACAAACUUCUUUACUUACAACUGCUAUGGAUGUCACUGAAAAUGGUGCUUCUAAUAUGGACAUAUCUGCUAGUGGAAGUAAUCCCGAACCAAUGUCGAGUCAGAUAGUCCGGCCUAUGGAUGAGGUUAGGCAAGAUCUUCUUAGAGAUCGUGUAUGUUGGGAGCUACCUUUCAUGCAUGGAUGGUUGGUUGGUCAAAGUCAAGCUGGCACCUCAUUGACUACAUUGCCAUCAGAGUCAGCCACCUCUAAUAUGGAGGUCCCGGAGGGUUCAUUGGCUAUGCAUCAUCGUUCAAAUCAACUGCCUCCACAAGCACCCACUUUACGAGAUCUUUCUUCAAAUGGUGCUUCUACUUCUGCUUCACAAUAUAGGCCAAAUGCUAUGGUUAGCGAGACGAAUGUAAGGGGUGAUUCUUUCCCUAUCAUGAGUCGAAUACAGUCUCAACUGUCUGCUUCCUUGACUGCUUCUGCGGCUGCUGAAUUGCCUUGCACUGUGAAGCUAAGAAUAUGGUCUCAUGAUUUAAAAAAUCCCUGUGCGUCUCUGAAGGCUGACCGAUGCCGUUUAACGAUACUACAUGCAGUACUUUGUAGUGAAAUGGGAGCCCACUUUUCACCUUGUGGGCGAUAUCUAGCUACUUGUGUUGCAUGUGUUCUUCCUCAGUUUGAAAUUGAUCCCGGGGUACCAAACCAAUUUCAUCAAGAAAGGGCUGGGACAUCUCCAACCAGACAUCCAAUUUCUGCUCGCCAAGUGAUGUAUGAACUGCGGAUAUAUUCACUUGAGGAGGAAACAUUUGGUUCGGUGCUUAUUUCGAGACCCAUUAGAGCAGCUCAUUGUUUAACAUCCAUCCAGUUCUCACCCAGCUCUGAGCACCUAUUGCUUGCUUAUGGUCGGCGUCACAGUUCUCUCCUGAAAAGCAUUGUUAUUAAUGGAGAUACCUCGGUAUCAAUUUACACAGUUUUAGAGGUAUAUAGAGUUUCAGAUAUGGAACUUGUGAGUGUCCUUCCAAGUGCAGAAGAUGAGGUGAACGUAGCUUGCUUCCACCCUCUUGCUGGAGGAGGGCUUGUUUAUGGGACCAAGGAAGGCAAACUUAGAAUACUUCAGUCUGAUGGUGCUCAUAAGGUAGAAAAGUCCAGACUUGAUUACUUCUAUGAAGCGCAAGCAGUUGAGGUAGAACCAUGAUACAGGUUCAAGCAUUCGCUUUAGAAUGUUAACGCCAAUGCUGAUUAUUACAUCUGAGGAACUGGUUUAGCCAGCUGAAAUGAAGUUGGUUUUACUGUCUCAUCUUCCUUUAUUUAUAGCCUUCUACAUCUUGAGCAUUUGCUUGUAUUAGCAUCGCAGGCCUUUACCUACUUGUUGUAUAUCCUUAUAAAAUAGUUGUUUGUAAUGGCUGCACUUUGUAUCAAUGUAAUUAUUAACAUUUAGUAGCUUGCACCAUUGUGGAGACUGAGAUCGUGGUCCUUGGUCAAAAUUGGAAUUCAUUCUUUUAAGAAUAAAUCUCUUUCAGCAAAGUCAACUUCAGUAAUUUCCUAAA
Erigeron canadensis is the source of this 2888-nucleotide RNA transcript. RefSeq lists it as uncharacterized. The transcript is spliced from 15 exons. The record is from RefSeq and is a predicted model, not a curated record. NCBI's taxonomy places the organism in Eukaryota, Viridiplantae, Streptophyta, Magnoliopsida, Asterales, Asteraceae.